CUGAGCUAGUGAUGAUACAGAGUUAUCCCUGUCUGAAAUGGAUCUCUUCGCUGUGGAAGCACAACUCUGAGGCUCAG
This is a small nucleolar RNA of Pogoniulus pusillus (Red-fronted tinkerbird), 77 nucleotides long. RefSeq annotates it as small nucleolar RNA R38. The transcript has a single exon. The record is from RefSeq and is a predicted model, not a curated record. NCBI's taxonomy places the organism in Eukaryota, Metazoa, Chordata, Aves, Piciformes, Lybiidae.